Long non-coding RNA from Alexandromys fortis (reed vole), 1254 nucleotides. RefSeq lists it as uncharacterized. The transcript is spliced from 3 exons. The record is from RefSeq and is a predicted model, not a curated record. NCBI's taxonomy places the organism in Eukaryota, Metazoa, Chordata, Mammalia, Rodentia, Cricetidae.
UCCCGCUCAGUGUGUCAUCCCAGCCCUAGGGUUUUAGAUGACAUAAUUUGAAAAGUAUUCUAGACAUCACGGGUAAAAAGUUUCCCUAUAAAGCUGAACCACUAAUUCCCUAGUCCCUGACUCAGCUCCUCACAAUGUUACCAACAACGUUUUCUUUUUACAAAGAAACAUUUGUAGGCAUGGGAAGUUUAUGUACCCAGGACAGAAGACGACACCAGUUCCGCAGGACUGGAGAUGGCCAGUGAGCUGCCACACGGAUGCCGGGAAUGAAACCAGGUCCUCCGGAAGAGCAGCCAGUGCCAAGCGCUGAGCCAUCUCCCCAGCUCCUUCAAGCUGUUCUUUGUAGAGUUCGCCUACUCUUCAUAGAAUAUCUUUCCUGUCUUGACGCAGCUUUCCAAAGUUUACAAAAGAUGAAUUUGGGCCAGCCCGAGACCGACGAGCCGAGGAAGGGUGACAGAAAGGAUCUGCUGCUCAGACGAGGAUGCCCAAUAUUUAUUCCCGCCCCCGGAGGGAGUUCAUCUCCGCUCCCUUUCUCUGGAAUCUCUGGUGUCCUUCUCCGCUAUUCUGACUCCUGAGCUUUGUAACCGACUAUCAAGCUGAUAGGCAUGAGUGGCUUGUUGUCCAGGUGCCCUUACCUGGAAGCUCAUGGCCUUCCCAAGGAAAGGGCUAGUUUCUCAGAUGAUCAGGCGCCUUGACGAUCACUGUUACCGCCCAGGACACCUGACGGUUUAAUGAAGAGAAAACGCCUCUCCAGCCUGAAAUAAUCCUACUGUGAUGAUUCUUUGUGCGGCAAAAAGAUACGACUACAAAUGGAGGAGUGUCUAUGCCUUCUUGACCUGAAUGGCAGGUUGCGGUUUUGUUUGUCGGUUUUAGUUUCUGCUACAGUAUCUCACUAUGCAACCCCUGUGGGCAUGGAGAUCACCACAUGGAUCAGGCUGACCUCACGGAAAACAGCCUGCCUCUGCCAGCUGAGUGCUGACACCAAAGCUGUAGCCCUGACUGUCCUGAAAUUCCCUCGACAGACCCGCCUACCUGUCUCCGCAGUGCUGGGACUGAAGGUGUGGGCCACUGCCGCCCGGCAUAUGAUUUUGCUUUUUUAGAGAAGAUCUCACUGUGUAGCACAGGCUGACCUCGUAAAGUUAAUCUCAUAUGUAACAACAGCAUUAUUUUGCCUAUUCAGUUGCAUCUUUGUGCCUUCAUUAUUAAUCUGUUUUAUGACAAUGCUGAAUGCUUUGAAAUACUCCUGCUUCAGCC